GCGGCGCUGCACCAAUCAAUAAGCGUGCGCGCCAGGCCCAGAUGGCGCCGGAGUCGACAGUUUCCCCUCUGCCGUUGUGGGGGUCGGACCCUCCCGGACUCCCCUCGACGACACCCGGCACGUUAAUGUAUGAUAUUUAAAAUACUUUUUAAGGAUUUAAGGACUUCGACGAAACAAAACGAGUAACUUACCAUUAAGAUAUUUGUAAAUCAGUAUUACUUUGUUAGCUCCGUGUAUGAUAGCAUUUUAUAGGAUUAAGUAAGUGAAUCUGUACCAAAGUGGACUUAAACAAAACUUAUACAAGUAUACAGUGUUCUGAAAAACGAAAACAAAAACAACAAAAGACAAGAGCAAGAAAACAAAAAACCAAAACAAAAAGAAAAAUAACCCUACGAAGAAAUAAGAAAGGACUGUGAACUUAUUUUCUCCCGACUGCAAACCGUAUAUAAACAAGAUCCAAGAGAAGGAUUUUGCGUGACCCGGAAGGGAAUUGCACAGCUGAUUCGCCUGCGCUGAACGGACUACGGCGGCGGCGACCUGAGGUACUCGUCCCCCCACACGUCGCGCCCGAUCUCGCGCGCCUCCUCCCAAACCUCGCUCUCUUCCUCCACCGCUGCAUCCAUUACACACCUGCCGCGCCGUUCCCAGUCCACCCACAC
This is a long non-coding RNA of Penaeus indicus, 659 nucleotides long. RefSeq lists it as uncharacterized. NCBI's taxonomy places the organism in Eukaryota, Metazoa, Arthropoda, Malacostraca, Decapoda, Penaeidae. The transcript has 3 exons. The record is from RefSeq and is a predicted model, not a curated record.